CGAGCGUUAUCCGGAAUCAUUGGGUUUAAAGGGUCCGUAGGCGGGCCUGUAAGUCAGGGGUGAAAGUUUGUGGCUCAACCAUAAAAUUGCCUUUGAUACUGCAGGUCUUGAGUCAUGGUGGGGUUGCCGGAACAUGUGGUGUAGCGGUGAAAUGCAUAGAUAUCACAUAGAACACCGAUCGCGAAGGCAGGUGACCAACCAUGUACUGACGCUGAUGGACGAAAGCGUGGGUAGCGAACGGGAUUAGAUACCCCGGUAGUCCACGCCGUAAACGAUGGAUACUAGCUGUGGGGACUUCGGUCUCCGUGGCCAAGCGAAAGUGAUAAGUAUCCCACCUGGGGAGUACGUUCGCAAGAAUGAAACUCAAAGGAAUUGACGGGGGCCCGCACAAGCGGUGGAGCAUGUGGUUUAAUUCGAUGAUACGCGAGGAACCUUACCAGGGCUUAAAUGCAGGCUGCAUGGGGUAGAGAUACCCCUUUCUUCGGACCGCCUGCAAGGUGCUGCAUGGUUGUCGUCAGCUCGUGCCGUGAGGUGUCAGGUUAAGUCCUAUAACGAGCGCAACCCCUACCGUUAGUUGCCAGCAUGUCAAGAUGGGGACUCUAACGGGACUGCCGGUGCAAACCGUGAGGAAGGUGGGGACGACGUCAAAUCAUCACGGCCCUUACGUCCUGGGCUACACACGUGCUACAAUGGCCGGUACAGAGGGAAGCCACCCCGCAAGGGGGCGCGGAUCUACAAAACCGGUCACAGUUCGGAUCGGGGUCUGCAACUCGACCCCGUGAAGCUGGAAUCGCUAGUAAUCGGAUAUCAGCCAUGAUCCGGUGAAUACGUUCCCGGGCCUUGUACACACCGCCCGUCAAGCCAUGGAAGCCGGGAGUGCC
This 881-nucleotide ribosomal RNA is filed under the name Flagellimonas marinaquae. Its description in RNAcentral is "bacterial SSU rRNA". It matches the Rfam family "Bacterial small subunit ribosomal RNA", at positions 535 to 1421 of the family's 1533-position model. Lineage: Bacteria; Pseudomonadati; Bacteroidota; Flavobacteriia; Flavobacteriales; Flavobacteriaceae. The record is from RNAcentral.